Molecule: transfer RNA, 71 nt
Filed under: Marmota monax (woodchuck)
Lineage: Eukaryota; Metazoa; Chordata; Mammalia; Rodentia; Sciuridae
Description: tRNA.Ser
Source: RNAcentral
GGGGUUGUGUCUCAGAGGUAGAGUACAUGCCCAGAAUGCGUGAUGCACUGGGUUCAAUCCUCAGCACCACA